GGGGAGGAGAAGAGGGGAGGAGAGGAGGAGAGGAGAGGAGGAUUCCAAAGCCUCGUUACACCUUUCGGCUUUUUAUAGCAGCUUUGAGGGUCAGAACGGCUUUUCAGACACUAACGACCAACUGCAGAGCGGUGGGGGAGAAUAUAGAACCCUCUGGUGUUCCCUUCUGUGAGUUUGACUUGAGCCUUUGUGUCUCAUUGAGCCCGAGAGAGACACAGAAAUGCACACACACACUCACACGCCUACAGACUGAGCUCUAUUAGUUUUUGAUCCUGCAGGCAAAGAGAGAGCUUGUUAGGCUCCUCUCUGUCUCUCAGUCUCCAGCUAGAUGAGCUGUGUACUCAUUAUCUGUGUGUGUGUGUGUGUGUGUGUGUGUGUAUGUGUGUGUGUGUGUGUGUGUGAACGUGUGUACAUGCGUGUGUGGUGUGUGUGUGUACGUGCAUGUGCAUGUGUGUGGUGUACGUGUGUUUGUGUGUGUGUGUGUGUGCGUGUGUGGUGUACGUGUGUUUGUGUGUGUGUGUGUGUGUGUGUGUGUGUGUGUGUGCCUGUGUGUGUGCCUGAAUGUUAACUAGAGAACAGCUACUUGGGUGAUCAACAGUAUGUUGUUUUUAUGAGCAGAAUUCCACAGGAAGGUGGUUUUUAUGAGUGGUUUAUUACAUUAUUAUUAUUGACAGAAACACCUGAUAAUACAGUUCAAUACUUGAUGAGUUAUUUUAAGACGAGAGACGAGUUUCUGUGAAGACGGAUGUUGGUAAAUAUGAUACAAAAAUGACGUAUUGGAGGCUAGAGAAGUUCACUCUUCAUCAUUUUUGACUUGCACGGUCUCCAUUUUAGUCUCAGCUGUGCUGCUGGUCGAAAAAGGUUCACAAUAACAAGUUAAACAAAGCAUUUUGUUCAGAUUAAAGGUGAGGGGGGAGAGGAGGGGGGAGAGAUGAUAUAAGAGAGGAGAGAGAGAUAAUAAUAGAGGAUAGAGAGAGAUAAUAGUAGAGGAUAGAGAGAGAUAAUAGUAGAGGAUAGAGAGAGAUAAUAGUAGAGGAUAGAGAGUGAUAAUAGAAGAGGGGAUAGAGAGCGAUAAUAGAAGCGAGGAGGAGAGAUAAUUGUAGAGGAGAGAGAGAGAAGAGAGGAAAGAGAGAACAGAAGAGAGGAGAGAUAAUUGUAGAGGAGAGAGAGAGAUAAGAGAGGAGAGGAGGAGAGAAUUGUAGAGGAGAGAGAGAGAUAAGAUAGGAGCGAGAUAAGAUAGGAGAGAGAGAUAACAGAGGAGAGGAGGAUAGGUAAUUGUAGAGGAGAGAGAGAGAGAUUAGAGAGGAGAGAGAGAUAACAGAGGAGAGAGUGAUAACAAAGGAGAGAUAAUUGUAGAGGAGAGAGAUACGUGAGGAGAGAGAGAUAUCAGAGGUGAGGAGGAGAGAUAAUUGUAGAGGAGAGAGAGAGAUAAGAGAUGAGAGAGAGAACAGAAGAGAGGAGGAGAGAUACUUGUAGAGGUGAGAGAGAGAUAAGAGAGGAGAGGAUGAGGGAUAAUUGUAGAGGAGAGAGAGAGAUAAGAGAUGAGAGAGAGAACAGAAGAGAGGAGGAGAGAUAAUUGUAGAGGAGAGAGAGAGAUACGGGAGGAGAGAGAGAUACAGAGGAGAGAGAGAUAGCAGAGGUGAGGAGGAGAGAUAAAUGUAGAGGAGAGAGAGAUAAGAGAUGAGAGAGAGAACAGAAGAGAGGAGGAGAGAUAAUUGUAGAGGUGAGAGAGAUAAGAGAGGAGAGGAGGAGAGAUCAUUGUAGAGAAGAGAGAGAUAAGAGAUGAGAGAGAGAACAGAAGAGAGGAGGAGAGAUAAUUGUAGAGGUGAGAGAGAGAUAAGAGAGAAGAGGAGGAGAGAUAAUUGUAGAGGAGAGAGAGAGAUAAGAGAUGAGAGAGAACAGAGGAGAGGAGGAGAGAUAAUUGUAGAGGAGAGAGAGAUAACAGAGGAGAGAGCGAUAACAUAGAGAGGGGGAGAGAUAAUUGUAGAGGAGAGAGAGAGAUAACAGAGGAGAGAGAGAUAACAGAGAGGAGAGAUAAUUGUAGAGGAGAGCGAUAAGAGAGGAGAGAGAUAGCAGAGGUGAGGAGGAGAGAUAAUUGUAGAGGAGAGAGAUAAGAGAUGAGAGAGAGAACAGAAGAGAGGAGGAGAGAUAAUUGUAGAGGAGAGAGAGAGAUAAGAGAUGAGAGAGAGAACAGAAGAGAGGAGGAGAGAUAAUUGUAGAGGAGAGAGAGAGACAACAGAGGAGAGAGAGAUAACAGAGGAGAGGAGGAGAGAUAGUUGUAGAGGAGAUAGAGAUAAGAGAGGAGAGAGAGAUUACAUAGAGAGGGGAGAGAUAAUUGUAGAGGAGAGAGAGAGAUAAGAGAGGAGAGAGAGAUAACAGAGGAAAAUGAGAGAUACUUUUAGAGGUGAGAGAGAGAUAAGAGAGGAGAGGAGGAGAGAAUACCUUACUGGUCGUUUACUGUGCUCCUCCCAUAUCAACAUGUCCUGUAGUUUACUGUGCUCCUCCCAUAUCAACAGGUCCUGUAGUUUACUGUGCUCCUCCCAUAUCAACAGGUCCAGUGGUCUCAAGCCUACAGUAGACAGAGGGUGAUGAUUUCGAUGCAAGGUGAUCGAUAAAUUAUAAUACGAUUUUUGAGAGCUUGGAACAUGAUUGAAUAUAUUUUCUGUCCUGUUUUUGUUUGUAUCUCACGUUGAAUUCACUCUGACAUUCUUUAUUUAGAAAACAUUAUAGAAUUGUUUUUAUCCCCCCUGUGUAAGAAAUUAAUAUCCACUUAUUUUUUUAAAUUAAUUCAUAACUUAAUUUGACAUUACAUAUAAGAGAUUCAGAUGAGUUAAGAUAUUCCUUUCCUGUAUAAGCCACGUUCCCUGUAACAGAUCCCUGUAGAGAUGUCAAAUCAACCUAGACCUAAACCUUCUCCAGACAGAUGGCACUCUGUCAAAUCAACCUAGACCUAAACCUUCUCCAGACAGAUGGCACUCUGUCAAAUCAACCUAGACCUAAACCUUCUCCAGAGAGAUGGCAGUCUGUCAAAUCAACCUAGACCUAAACCUUCUCCAGACAGAUGGCACUCUGUCAAAUCAACCUAGACCUAAACCUUCUCCAGAGAGAUGGCAGUCUGUCAAAUCAACCUAGACCUAAACCUUCUCCAGAGAGAUGGCAGUCUCCAUAUUAGGCAACAGAGUUUGUAUGUCUAUGUCAUCCGUCUCUCCGUUUUCCAGAGACCUUGUGAAACACACAGCGUACUCAUAUCAGUAGGACAAUGACUGUCUGAGCAGCUACCAGUAGAGCCCCUCAUCAACCACCGCUAGAGGAGUAUAACCAGGACUGGCCCCUCCCGCACCUCACAGGCAGAACAUGUUAUUGGACCCCCUCUUGGUUGGGGGCCCCCUACCGGCCUCGGGCCCUUCAGCAUCUGCUUAUAUCUCUUAUUGUCUUGCAGGACAGAGUGUUCUUUUUUUGCUGGUGACCAAAGGGGAGUGUACAAACAUGGACUUAAUCAGAAACCGUCAAGAGAAAAACUGGAAAGACUAUAAGAUACAGAAACCUGUUUUUUUGUACAGAGAUAUAUUUUAUAUAUUUUUAUGGAAAUACAUUUGUAAUAUGAAAAGAGGAGAAAUGGAUUGACAUGUGACAUCUCUCUCUCUCUCUCUCUCUGUCUCUCUCUCUCUCUCUCUCUCUCUCUCUCUCUCUCUCUCUCUCUCUCUCUCUCUGUCUCUCUCUGUCUCUCUCUCUCUCUGUCUCUCUCUCUCUCUCUCUCUCUCUCUCUGUCUCUCUGUCUCUCUGUCUCUCUCUCUCUCUCUCUCUCUCUCUCUCUCUCUCUCUCUGUCUCUCUGUCUCUCUGUCUCUCUCUCUCUGUCUCUCUGUCUCUCUGUCUCUCU
Molecule: long non-coding RNA, 3878 nt
Organism: Oncorhynchus tshawytscha (Chinook salmon)
Lineage: Eukaryota; Metazoa; Chordata; Actinopteri; Salmoniformes; Salmonidae
Source: Ensembl